RNAcentral lists this ribosomal RNA (2902 nucleotides) under Escherichia coli. Its description in RNAcentral is "bacterial LSU rRNA". It matches the Rfam family "Bacterial large subunit ribosomal RNA". Lineage: Bacteria; Pseudomonadati; Pseudomonadota; Gammaproteobacteria; Enterobacterales; Enterobacteriaceae. The record is from RNAcentral.
UUAAGCGACUAAGCGUACACGGUGGAUGCCCUGGCAGUCAGAGGCGAUGAAGGACGUGCUAAUCUGCGAUAAGCGUCGGUAAGGUGAUAUGAACCGUUAUAACCGGCGAUUUCCGAAUGGGGAAACCCAGUGUGAUUCGUCACACUAUCAUUAACUGAAUCCAUAGGUUAAUGAGGCGAACCGGGGGAACUGAAACAUCUAAGUACCCCGAGGAAAAGAAAUCAACCGAGAUUCCCCCAGUAGCGGCGAGCGAACGGGGAGCAGCCCAGAGCCUGAAUCAGUGUGUGUGUUAGUGGAAGCGUCUGGAAAGGCGCGCGAUACAGGGUGACAGCCCCGUACACAAAAAUGCACAUGCUGUGAGCUCGAUGAGUAGGGCGGGACACGUGGUAUCCUGUCUGAAUAUGGGGGGACCAUCCUCCAAGGCUAAAUACUCCUGACUGACCGAUAGUGAACCAGUACCGUGAGGGAAAGGCGAAAAGAACCCCGGCGAGGGGAGUGAAAAAGAACCUGAAACCGUGUACGUACAAGCAGUGGGAGCACGCUUAGGCGUGUGACUGCGUACCUUUUGUAUAAUGGGUCAGCGACUUAUAUUCUGUAGCAAGGUUAACCGAAUAGGGGAGCCGAAGGGAAACCGAGUCUUAACUGGGCGUUAAGUUGCAGGGUAUAGACCCGAAACCCGGUGAUCUAGCCAUGGGCAGGUUGAAGGUUGGGUAACACUAACUGGAGGACCGAACCGACUAAUGUUGAAAAAUUAGCGGAUGACUUGUGGCUGGGGGUGAAAGGCCAAUCAAACCGGGAGAUAGCUGGUUCUCCCCGAAAGCUAUUUAGGUAGCGCCUCGUGAAUUCAUCUCCGGGGGUAGAGCACUGUUUCGGCAAGGGGGUCAUCCCGACUUACCAACCCGAUGCAAACUACGAAUACCGGAGAAUGUUAUCACGGGAGACACACGGCGGGUGCUAACGUCCGUCGUGAAGAGGGAAACAACCCAGACCGCCAGCUAAGGUCCCAAAGUCAUGGUUAAGUGGGAAACGAUGUGGGAAGGCCCAGACAGCCAGGAUGUUGGCUUAGAAGCAGCCAUCAUUUAAAGAAAGCGUAAUAGCUCACUGGUCGAGUCGGCCUGCGCGGAAGAUGUAACGGGGCUAAACCAUGCACCGAAGCUGCGGCAGCGACGCUGAUGCGUUGUUGGGUAGGGGAGCGUUCUGUAAGCCUGCGAAGGUGUGCUGUGAGGCAUGCUGGAGGUAUCAGAAGUGCGAAUGCUGACAUAAGUAACGAUAAAGCGGGUGAAAAGCCCGCUCGCCGGAAGACCAAGGGUUCCUGUCCAACGUUAAUCGGGGCAGGGUGAGUCGACCCCUAAGGCGAGGCCGAAAGGCGUAGUCGAUGGGAAACAGGUUAAUAUUCCUGUACUUGGUGUUACUGCGAAGGGGGGACGGAGAAGGCUAUGUUGGCCGGGCGACGGUUGUCCCGGUUUAAGCGUGUAGGCUGGUUUUCCAGGCAAAUCCGGAAAAUCAAGGCUGAGGCGUGAUGACGAGGCACUACGGUGCUGAAGCAACAAAUGCCCUGCUUCCAGGAAAAGCCUCUAAGCAUCAGGUAACAUCAAAUCGUACCCCAAACCGACACAGGUGGUCAGGUAGAGAAUACCAAGGCGCUUGAGAGAACUCGGGUGAAGGAACUAGGCAAAAUGGUGCCGUAACUUCGGGAGAAGGCACGCUGAUAUGUAGGUGAAGUCCCUCGCGGAUGGAGCUGAAAUCAGUCGAAGAUACCAGCUGGCUGCAACUGUUUAUUAAAAACACAGCACUGUGCAAACACGAAAGUGGACGUAUACGGUGUGACGCCUGCCCGGUGCCGGAAGGUUAAUUGAUGGGGUUAGCGCAAGCGAAGCUCUUGAUCGAAGCCCCGGUAAACGGCGGCCGUAACUAUAACGGUCCUAAGGUAGCGAAAUUCCUUGUCGGGUAAGUUCCGACCUGCACGAAUGGCGUAAUGAUGGCCAGGCUGUCUCCACCCGAGACUCAGUGAAAUUGAACUCGCUGUGAAGAUGCAGUGUACCCGCGGCAAGACGGAAAGACCCCGUGAACCUUUACUAUAGCUUGACACUGAACAUUGAGCCUUGAUGUGUAGGAUAGGUGGGAGGCUUUGAAGUGUGGACGCCAGUCUGCAUGGAGCCGACCUUGAAAUACCACCCUUUAAUGUUUGAUGUUCUAACGUGGACCCGUAAUCCGGGUUGCGGACAGUGUCUGGUGGGUAGUUUGACUGGGGCGGUCUCCUCCUAAAGAGUAACGGAGGAGCACGAAGGUUGGCUAAUCCUGGUCGGACAUCAGGAGGUUAGUGCAAUGGCAUAAGCCAGCUUGACUGCGAGCGUGACGGCGCGAGCAGGUGCGAAAGCAGGUCAUAGUGAUCCGGUGGUUCUGAAUGGAAGGGCCAUCGCUCAACGGAUAAAAGGUACUCCGGGGAUAACAGGCUGAUACCGCCCAAGAGUUCAUAUCGACGGCGGUGUUUGGCACCUCGAUGUCGGCUCAUCACAUCCUGGGGCUGAAGUAGGUCCCAAGGGUAUGGCUGUUCGCCAUUUAAAGUGGUACGCGAGCUGGGUUUAGAACGUCGUGAGACAGUUCGGUCCCUAUCUGCCGUGGGCGCUGGAGAAUUGAGGGGGGCUGCUCCUAGUACGAGAGGACCGGAGUGGACGCAUCACUGGUGUUCGGGUUGUCAUGCCAAUGGCACUGCCCGGUAGCUAAAUGCGGAAGAGAUAAGUGCUGAAAGCAUCUAAGCACGAAACUUGCCCCGAGAUGAGUUCUCCCUGACUCCUUGAGAGUCCUGAAGGAACGUUGAAGACGACGACGUUGAUAGGCCGGGUGUGUAAGCGCAGCGAUGCGUUGAGCUAACCGGUACUAAUGAACCGUGAGGCUUAACCUU